Molecule: non-coding RNA, 74 nt
Organism: Podarcis lilfordi (Lilford's wall lizard)
Lineage: Eukaryota; Metazoa; Chordata; Lepidosauria; Squamata; Lacertidae
Source: the annotation of a GenBank genome assembly
GGAGGGCCAUAGCUCAGUGCUAGAGCAUCUGCUUUGCAUGCAGAAGGUCUCAUGUUCAAUCCCCAGCAACUCCA